Molecule: long non-coding RNA, 2081 nt
Organism: Bubalus bubalis (water buffalo)
Lineage: Eukaryota; Metazoa; Chordata; Mammalia; Artiodactyla; Bovidae
Exons: 2
Source: RefSeq, a predicted model, not a curated record
GAGAGGGGGAGGGGCAGGGGGACGGCGGCGCGGGCCGUGCGAGGGGCGGGGGCCGCCGGGACAAAGGAGCGGCCCUGCUGGGCCACGGGCUCCGCCGCAACCCCUGCGGCGCCUCCUUCCUUUGCAGCCGAGGGAGAGUGGGAGGAUUUUGCCUGGCCGUGCUCACCUUAAUAUCCUUCUCGGCCUGCCUUAAGCGCUGCUUCUCCAAAGCCCCAUGUGUGUCCGGCCGGCCGCCUGGCCGGCCCAGGACUGCCCGGGUUUGAACCCUGGAAGCCCUGCCUCCCAGGAGCCGGCUCAGACAGAUCGGGGACACUUAAGUCACUCACCUUGUUAAAGUUUCGUGGGGCCAAAAACGUUUCCCUUUGGAAGGGAAGUAGCUAAAGCCGAUAUUUUUCUGGUGGGAGGAUUUGCUUACGUCUUUGAGAGAGGGGAAGACUUAAGGGGAGACGGGUGCCAGGAAAGACGAAGAAAGUUGUAGAGGAAAAACUGUAGGUGGACAGGGAGGCUGGAGAAGAGGCAGCUAAAAGAAGCAUGGCUGGGCACAUUUUGAUAAGAGGAUCGAAACCGCUGCCGGCCGGCAUCAUACUGAAACCCGGUUACUCAGAAUGCGCUGCUGGCAGGCUGCCAUCCUGCUAGCCGAAAAUGCGCAUUGCCACGUGGUGAGCUGCAGCACCCUGUUGGGAACAGAACUCGAAUGAUGAGAUUUGUGAAACUGAGAAGCAGUGUUUCAUUUGGGGAAGAUUAGAAGCUGUGAUAUGCUCAUUAGACCGCCAGUCUUGAGGAAGAAAAAAAGACAGCCCAUCUAUGGAAAUGUUGCCCAUUGCUCGCCAGCAAAAUUAAAUCUUUGGUUAGGUAAUCUCUGGAAACCUCUAUAGAAACAAGAAUGAUUUUUCCCACUUAAUGGAUGAGCAAAUUUAAGAGACUAAAUGAUGUUUCCUUAUUUGGGGAAUCUAAAAAAGGAUACAGAUGAACUUAUUUACAAAACAGAGUCUCACAGACAUAGGAAAACAAUCCCAUGGUUACCAAAGGGUGACGGGGAGGGAGGAUAAAUUAGGAGUUUGGGAUGAGCAUACACACACUGCUCUAUAUAAAACGCAAAUAACAAGGACCUACUGUAGAGCCCAGGGAACUAUACUCAGUAACUUGUAAUAUAACCUAUAAUGGAAAAGAAUCUGAAAUAUAUUCUUUUCCAUAUAUAUAUAUUCUUUUACAGUUUCUUUUCGGUGAUAUAUAUAACAAACUUUUCUGUACACCGGACACUAACAUAACAUUGUAAAUCAACUAUACUUAAAUUUUUAAAAAUUAACAUAUCUAUGUUAACAACCCAAUGGUGCAGCUGCCAGCAGACCUCAACAUUCUUGAAUUUAAAGGUACUGUUUAUACCGUUGUUCAAAACAUCAAAAUCUGUCUGGUCUCAACAUGGAUUACCAUUCUGAAGUGUAGUUUAUUUGUUUGAUUUGUACUACAUUCCCCAGAACUUUCUUCCUUGUGUGAUUUGCUACAAGAACAUUAUAAGAUUCACAUUUGCACAACAUUAAACUAAAUUAGGCCAAAGGCAGUGUAAUAAUCAUCUUUUUAAUCUGAGUCUCAAACACUGUUCCAGGUCACACAAUAGGGUCUCAGCUAAUACUGGAUAAAAGAAUAAAUGGGUCCUUUUGCUCCCCUGGGACCACACCAGACCAUCCGACUACACUAAAGUGUGAGUAACAAUUUAUGUGCAGAAGUUAUGAGCUUUGAGGAAAUGAGAAAUUAAAGAAACAUAAUCUCUAAGAAAAGCAGUGAUUGGUCAGGAGUAUGGCUGCAUUCGUAAUUUCAGAUAAAUAUUCAUCGAAGGACAGCUAACUAUAAAAUUUAUGAGCGUUCCAAAGGUUGAUCAGUUUUACCAUGCUAAACAGAGUAUCCUCGUAAGUAGGAAUAGUGUAAGUCACAUUGCUAAACCAUGUCAUGAUACAACAUCUAUUAGUAUCUUGAAUUUAAGACAAAUCACAUUUUACCUACACUCUUUCCCGGUUAUUAUAAAUUGUCUUAUGCCAUCUCACAAGUCAUUUUUAUCAAAUAAUUAAAAGUUGACCUUUCCUUUA